AGGUGAGCCGGGACAGCCUUCUUCCUCCGCCCAGCCGCCACAGUAAUUUGUCGUCAAGUCUGCCACAGGAGGAUAUUUAUUCUGGGUUAACCUGCUUUUAUACUUCGCAGGUUGUUUAUCGAUAUUUGUGUAAUUUUAUUUACUCCUAGAAUUUCCGCAUGUGUUAGCAGUAAUUAUUUGAAUUUAGUCUGUAAUAUUAUAUUCAUGUUGGACCUGUAAACUUAAUAUUUUAAGUCUGUUUUGAUGGAUUGGAUGAGGGAGCUGAGCUCCCAUUUAUUAUUA
Molecule: long non-coding RNA, 282 nt
Organism: Hevea brasiliensis (rubber tree)
Lineage: Eukaryota; Viridiplantae; Streptophyta; Magnoliopsida; Malpighiales; Euphorbiaceae
Exons: 2
Source: RefSeq, a predicted model, not a curated record